This 808-nucleotide ribosomal RNA is filed under the name uncultured bacterium. RNAcentral's name for it is "bacterial SSU rRNA". It matches the Rfam family "Bacterial small subunit ribosomal RNA", at positions 8 to 814 of the family's 1533-position model. The record is from RNAcentral.
AGAGUUUGAUCCUGGCUCAGGAUGAACGCUGGCGGCGUGCUUAACACAUGCAAGUCGAACGAAGCACUUUAUUUGAUUUCCUUCGGGACUGAUUAUUUUGUGACUGAGUGGCGGACGGGUGAGUAACGCGUGGGUAACCUGCCUUGUACAGGGGGAUAACAGUUGAAAACGGCUGCUAAUACCGCAUAAGCGCACGGCAUCGCAUGAUGCAGUGUGAAAAACUCCGGUGGUAUAAGAUGGACCCGCGUUGGAUUAGCUAGUUGGUGAGGUAACGGCCCACCAAGGCGACGAUCCAUAGCCGACCUGAGAGGGUGACCGGCCACAUUGGGACUGAGACACGGCCCAAACUCCUACGGGAGGCAGCAGUGGGGAAUAUUGCACAAUGGGCGAAAGCCUGAUGCAGCGACGCCGCGUGAGCGAAGAAGUAUUUCGGUAUGUAAAGCUCUAUCAGCAGGGAAGAUAAUGACGGUACCUGACUAAGAAGCACCGGCUAAAUACGUGCCAGCAGCCGCGGUAAUACGUAUGGUGCAAGCGUUAUCCGGAUUUACUGGGUGUAAAGGGAGCGCAGGCGGUGCGGCAAGUCUGAUGUGAAAGCCCGGGGCUCAACCCCGGUACUGCAUUGGAAACUGUCGUACUAGAGUGUCGGAGGGGUAAGCGGAAUUCCUAGUGUAGCGGUGAAAUGCGUAGAUAUUAGGAGGGACACCAGUGGCGAAGGCGGCUUAUUGGACGAUAACUGACGCUGAGGCUCGAAAGCGUGGGGAGCAAACAGGAUUAGAUACCCUGGUAGUUCACGCCGUAAACGAUGAAU